Molecule: non-coding RNA, 389 nt
Organism: Desulfoplanes formicivorans
Lineage: Bacteria; Pseudomonadati; Thermodesulfobacteriota; Desulfovibrionia; Desulfovibrionales; Desulfoplanaceae
Rfam family: transfer-messenger RNA
About the family: Bacterial tmRNA, also known as 10Sa RNA or SsrA, is named for its dual tRNA and mRNA-like properties. Its role is to liberate the mRNA from a stalled ribosome.
Source: Rfam
GGGGGCGCACUGGUUUCGACGGGGAUAGUUGAGGCCGGGGUCGCAGGUCGAGGUGCUGUGAGGUCCUCGUUAAACACACAGCAAACCAUUAAUUGCCAACAAUGACAAUUACGCUUACGCAAUGGCUGCCUAGCAGUUGUUCGUAACACUGGCAGCUUCGGCUGCCACGUCCCGCCGGCUGACGCCUGAUACGCUGAACGGGGCGCCAUCUCAUCAGGCUGGUUGGUGAUUCACGUCUUAGGGAUCACCAAUGAGAUCUUACUCAGACUGGAUUUCGGGCCGCCGGGGCAGGGGCUCUCCCGAAAUCGAGAUGAAAACCUGUCCUAAGCCUGUAGAAGCUCCGAGCCAAGUAUUUUCGGACGCGGGUUCGAUUCCCGCCGCCUCCACCA